RNAcentral lists this ribosomal RNA (508 nucleotides) under Decipifus sp. EES-2022. RNAcentral describes it as "partial large subunit ribosomal RNA". It matches the Rfam family "Bacterial large subunit ribosomal RNA", at positions 1817 to 2600 of the family's 2925-position model. The record is from RNAcentral. Lineage: Eukaryota; Metazoa; Mollusca; Gastropoda; Neogastropoda; Columbellidae.
GGCUCUUUGAUUAUUAAUAGUAUAAGGAGUUGGACCUGCCCAGUGAAAAGUUUUAACGGCCGCGGUACUCUGACCGUGCAAAGGUAGCAUAAUCAUUUGCCUUAUAAUUGAAGGCUUGUAUGAAUGGUUUGACAAGAAUAUGGCUGUCUCUAUUCGAUUUUAUAGAAUUUUAUUUUGAAGUGAAGAAGCUUGAAUUUUAUUAAUAGACAAGAAGACCCUAUCGAGCUUAAAAAUAAUUAAUAAAAGUAUAAAAAUAAAGUUAAGAAAUUAUUUAUUAUAAAUUUUGGUUGGGGCGACCUAGGAACAAAAGAAGCUUCCUAAAUUAAUAUAUAAAACAAUUGAUCCAAGAUGUUUUGAUUAAAGAAAUUAGUUACCGUAGGGAUAACAGCAUUAUCUUUUUUAAGAGUUCAUAUCGAAAAAAAGGUUUGUGACCUCGAUGUUGGACCAGAAUAUCCUAAAGAUGUAGCAGUCUAUAAGGGUUGGUCUGUUCGACCAUUAAAAUUCUACG